GGGCGCGAGAAGCGGCGUCCGCGAGUCGGAGCCGGCGGGGUGGCGGGAUGGAGGAGGGGGCUGGCUUGGCGCCUCCUCCCGCGACGAGCUUCACGCGGACCCGCAGGGCCUCGAGGUACUGGUAGAAAGCGGCGGCCACUGAUUUCCUCAGUUCUGCAAGAUGGAGAAAAAAAUUAUCUUGCCUCUUCGCUGGUGAAUCUGCAGAUUGGGAUCUGUGAGCUACCACUGAUUCAUCCAGAGGUCUAAAAUUGUGGUGAGUUCAUCUCCUAAUUUGCGCAAGCUCCUGCCGCCCACCGCCAGCUCCUCCGCUUCCACUUCCUCGUCCUCGUCUUCCUUCUGGAAGAAGUCCCUGACCGCCAUCUCGCACCUGGGCCGCCGCCGCGUCGACUGCGCGUUCGCGCUGCACGUGCACUCCGUCGACGGCCUCCCCGCCGCGCUCGAUGGGUCCGCGGUCUCCGUCCACUUCCGCCGGAUGUCCGUGUCCGCCUCCACCCGCCCCGUCGCGGCCGCCCUCGGCGCCGCCGCGUUCGAGGAGGCGCUCACGCUGCGGUCCCCGGUCUACUUCUCCCGCGGCGCCAAGGCCGUCGUCAAGUACGAGCCCCGCGCCUUUGCUGUCUCCGUCGCCGCCUCCACUCUCGACCUCGGUAAGCACGACGUCGACCUCACCCGCCUUCUCCCGCUCUCGUUCGACGAUCUCGAGGACGGCGGCGACUCCGGCUUCGGGAAGUGGAGCACCAGCUUCCGGCUGUCCGGCCCCGCCCGCGGCGCGCGGCUUAACGUAACCUUCUCUUGCUCGCUCCUCAAACACAGCCUGAGUGCAGUGCAGUGCAUAUUACCAAAGGAGUGGGAGGGAAUCUACUUUGGGGGGCUGGGGAGGGCGGUCAUGUACUUGGACUUGGACUGCCGAUUUGAUGUGCUACGGCUGGCUCAAAUUCUGAGGAAUCGUAUUGCAGAGGGCUGCCGUUUAGCACACCUUGGAAAUGGAGACCCUGAAAAUGAUGUCACUAAAGAUGAGUUUCAGUGUUCUCUUCAAAAUACACUGUUUUCUGAUUGUAUGCAGCGCUUCUUGUAUGCUCGAUGUUGCAAAAGUCCUGAAUUCAUAGAUGCUUUGAAGGUGUUUUGAGCCAGCUGUUGCAAAUACUUGUCUGAGACCCCCUUGUGUUGCAAAUUCUUCAUCUGGAUGGUGGUACAUAAUUGGUGUUGGACGGUUGACCGCCUAGCAAAACGGGGUCUGCCCCACUCAGAGGUUUGCCCCUUCUGUGACCAAGCCAAGGAGUCGAUUAAUUACCUUCUGGUUGGCUGUGUUCUUCCUUGCCAAGUCUGGACCUCAAUUUUUCAGCACCUGGUUAUAACACAAUUAGCACCUGAUCCUUCAGUGGGUCGUUUCUGGAUGUUGGAGAAAAUUAAUCACUGCAGUGCCAAAAGAAAUGUGUAAGGGCCUCAGCUCCUUGAUGAUCUUGGUGGCGUGGGAGGUCUGGAAACACCGAAAUGAUAGUGUGUUUGAGAAUUUGAGUCCAAGUACUCAGGCUGUGCUUAGGUCAGUAAGCAUGGAGCAGCACAUGGGCGGGGAAGUGGCGGGGCUGCGGCGCGGGUCGAUGGCGCGGCCAGUGUCAGUGCAAGCGCCGACGCCUUUGCCCGCGCGGAGCAGGGACGUGAGGGUUCUCCACGAGGUGCUGCCUAGCUUGAGGUCUGCCAGGCCGGUGCCUUCUUCUGUUGCUGACGGGGUUCCUGAUGCGAGGAAGGAGGAGCUGGCAGCACCGGACUGCACGGAAGAGGGGUCUCCGGAGGCAAAGCACUGCACAUCGGUAGAGGUUAAAAAGGGGGACUCGGUGCAUCCAGAUGGCGAUUGGGGCACGGUGGAGUUCAAUGUUGUGGAGCAUGGAGUUGAGGUUGCUUCAGAUGACCCGCAAAGGCUCAAACAUGUGGAAACCAGCAAUGCGGCUGGCCAGGAGGAGGAUUCAGGGUUCAAAAUUGACGAAGAGGGAUCGUUCAGGCCUUUGCAAGUAAGUGGUGAUGUCGCUGAAGAUCAGACUGUUGGAGUGAAAACUGAGGUGGCCGUCAGUGACGUUGCUGUUCAAAGGGAGAAUAUGGAAGACAAACAGGAUGGAAUAGUCAAAGCUGCUUCACUGCCUACCGCUGCUCUUGAAGCAGAGGGUCAGUUUGGAGCAGAUGCGGAACUGGAGGACCUGGAAAGUAUUUUGAACGAGCUCUCAGUUGCUGAGCCAGAGGAAUUUGAAUCACCAGUUGUAGAAGAUAAGCAUUCUCGGCGAUUGAGCUGCACAGGUGUGACUGAUAGUUACAAGUCUGCCAGUAGGAAGGGCAGAUCACGCAGCAUGGAUGCUUCAACAGAUUCUGUUGCUAAUGAGUUCCUGGAUAUGCUUGGAAUAGAGCAUAGCCCAGUUGGGCAACCCUCAGAUAGUGAUUCCGAGUCGCCAAGAGAACGGCUUUGGAAGCAGUUUGAAAAGGAAGCCCUAGCAUCUGGCAAUGCUAUUCUUGGCUUGGACUUUGACGAUGGAAUUGAAGGACCUAUUUGUGAUAAUGUUGUGGAGGAUUUUGAUCUCUCUGCAAUGAUACAUGAGGCUGAGCUCGAGCUUCAGAAUGGAAGCCAACCCAUUGAUACCAAAUUUCGAGCUAAGUCGCUGGAAGACGAAGAAACUGAGGCCUUAAUGCGUCAAUUUGGUCUAAACGAGAAGUCCUUCCAAUCUUCUCCACCUGAAAGUAGAAGUGGAUUUGGUAGCCCCAUUAGCCUCCCACCUGAGCAGUCCCUGGAGCUACCGCCAUUGGCUGAAGGUUUAGGCCCAUUUAUUCAGACCAAAGAUGGAGGAUUUCUGCGAUCAAUGAACCCAGCCCUGUUCAAAAAUGCAAAGAACAAAUGCAGCUUGGUUAUGCAGGCUUCUUCUCCGAUUGUACUGCCAGCGGAGAUGGGAUCUGGGAUUAUGGAUAUAUUGCAUGGUCUGGCAUCAAUUGGAAUUGAGAAGUUAUCAAUGCAGGCAAACAAGCUUAUGCCCUUGGAAGAUGUUAAUGGUAAAAUGAUGCAGCAGAUUGCCCGGGAGGCUGCUCCAGCUCUGGAGUCUGCUGAAAGAUAUGAUGCAUUGGACUAUCAUAGCAUCGGUGCUUUGGUAGAAGGGUGUGGAAAUGCUCCCUCUGGUAAGAAGACAGGUAGGUGUGCUGAUCUUUCAUCCUUGGGUGGGGAGAAUGCUUCGGAAUAUGUUUCACUUGAGGACCUUGCACCAUUAGCUAUGGAAAAGAUUGAAGCCCUGUCCAUUGAGGGUUUGAGGAUACAAUCUGGCAUGUCAGAAGAAGAUGCACCCUCCAAUAUCAGUGCAAAGCCUAUUGGGGAAUUUUCAUCUCUGCAAGGAAAGUGUGCAGAGAAUACUUGGUCCCUUGGUUUAGAGGGAACUGCAGGUUUGCAGCUUCUGGAUGUUAAGCAAAGCGGAGAAGUUGAUGGAUUAAUGGGCUUGUCCAUCACUCUAGAUGAAUGGAUGAGGCUUGAUUCUGGGGUAGUGGACGAAGAAGAACAGUACAGUGACCGGACAUCGAAAUAUAAGAUUCGAUCAGAUAUGUGUCGAUGCUCAUCCGAGCGUACUCCCGUUGCAACGCACGGGCACACACCUAGUAAAAGGAUUAAGGGGGGGCACACGAAUAAGCCAACGCUAAGCCUCACCCAAACCCUAAUCGACAGUGAGGCUCUCAUCGCCUAGGCGUGCGCAAGUGACUCGAAAGGCUAACCUAUAAAGGCGGUUGUGGAUCUCGGCACCCUAGCGGGCCCAGGAUCCGAGCCACCUUCUCUGCAGGUGAAUGGAGGAGGCGGCGACAACUGUGAUGGCGAUCGGACUUCUCCACCACCACCGCGCCAAUAUGAAAUCCCACUCCCCUUCUGUAAUUGUGUUUACAGUGAUAACAAGACUAGAUCUACUCUAUGUUCAUGACAAGUUCCUCGGGUUAAUGAAGUUGGACAUUGUUAAAGACCCUAUAAAACCAUCAUCAAAGUCUAUUGUGCCAUUCACAUUUCCUCUUGCCUGACCUUCUUCCUAAGUUCCAAGCUUGAAUAGAGUAGUUGUUCUGGAUGAUGAUUUGAUUGUCCAGAAAGACUUGUCAUCUCUCUGGAACCUCGAUAUGGGUGGUAAAGUGACUGGAGCAGUCCAGUUCUGUGGAGUGAGAUUAGGGCAGUUGAAACCUUAUGUAGCGGACCAGAAUGCCAAUGCUAAUUCUUAUGCAGCGUCCCUCCAUUUAUCCAGUUUGCAUGAUCAAUCAGUCCAAAAGGUCAGUACAACUCCCUGCAAGUUUACUUGCCUUUGAAGAUGUGGUAUAUCCUUUGGAAGAUUCAUGGGUUCAGUCAGGCGGCCUUGGACAUGAUUACGGAAUUAGCCGUGUCGAUAUAGAAAAAGCUGCUGCUCUGCACUACAAUGGUGUGAUGAAAUCUUGGCUUGACUUGGGGAAACAUGAUUAUAAAUAAGAGCUACUGGAGGAAGUACAUGACUAAUGGAGAGAAGUUCAUGACGGAAUGAAAUAUUCACUAAUUCAUAGGACAUGAAACUAACCAAACACUCAUUUUUUGGGCAUGUGAACAACAGAACAACAGACUUCACGGGCUAUGUUUAUCAUGAAAAUAAACAGAAUCGCACAUGUGUAUCUAUGAUGCCACUGAUACACCUAGGGGUGGUCUUAAUUAUUUUUAGUUCAAAACCGAAUAGGAAUAGAGAUUGAUUUUAAUCUGAUUUAAUUCUUAAAAUUUAUAGUAUAAAACCUAGAUGUCAUUACCACCUCGACGAGGCAGUGCCCCAAUGCUGCCGUAAGAGUACGAUGUCUGAAGGAUGCCAGCACGAAACCUGAGUUAUGUUGCAGAAUACCAAGAUAUGAUGUGGAUUAUUUCACUGUUCGUUAUGGUUUGAUGAUUUUUUUUUCA
Molecule: RNA transcript, 4906 nt
Organism: Zea mays
Lineage: Eukaryota; Viridiplantae; Streptophyta; Magnoliopsida; Poales; Poaceae
Gene name: Protein PLASTID MOVEMENT IMPAIRED 1-RELATED 1
Exons: 4
Source: RefSeq, a predicted model, not a curated record